Molecule: unclassified non-coding RNA, 359 nt
Filed under: Hevea brasiliensis (rubber tree)
Lineage: Eukaryota; Viridiplantae; Streptophyta; Magnoliopsida; Malpighiales; Euphorbiaceae
Source: RNAcentral
UAAGCAUCUUCAAAAACAACUUCUGUGCAGCUGCCAAGCCAAAUGUAGCAACUAGAACAGCCCUCACAAAUAUAAACCAUGAACUCCCAAAAGCAAGGGCCAUAUAAACACCAAGAAGGACCAUAGGACUCAUCCUAGAUUGGCCUCCUUCAGUUUGGGGAUUUGCCCAAGCCAUCCACCAAUUACUAGCUAUUUGUAGAAAUUGAAAUAAUGCUUGUGCAAGGAUAAUUAGUGGAAUUAAUAAGCCCUUAUAUGCUGCAGCCAUGUAUGACAAGUAAACCUUCAUACUGACUCUCCCUCUCACCCUUUCCUCUUCCUGAACAAGCUGCUUUUUCCUUGAGCGUUUUGCUUUCUUUUUC